GGGGUCGACUGGUUUUGACAGCAAGUCGAAUUGAAAAGUAAGCAGGCCGAGCAUUGAGACCUUGCUCGCAAAUAUAAGAUCUCAAACUUUUAAACGGCGAAAAUAAUUACGCUUUAGCUGCAUAAUCCGAAUCAUAGUACGAUUACGCCACGUUCCUACAAGGUAGGAAAGCUGGAUUCUCCUUGAAAGCCUUGGUUUAUGGCGUUCAGUUCAGGGGAACCGUAAAAGUAAACCUAGAUUUUCAUCUGCUUCGAGUGGAUUUCGAAAUUAAAGAAGCUAAGUAGUUUGUGGCUGUUUCUGGCCUAGCAACCUAUCGAAAAUUCAAUCAGGAAAUAAGCCUGUAGAAAGCCUUUUAGUUGCUUGUUUGGACCCGAGUUCGAUUCUCGGCGACUCCAC
Molecule: transfer-messenger RNA, 396 nt
Filed under: Flavobacterium sp. UMI-01
Lineage: Bacteria; Pseudomonadati; Bacteroidota; Flavobacteriia; Flavobacteriales; Flavobacteriaceae
Rfam family: transfer-messenger RNA
About the family: Bacterial tmRNA, also known as 10Sa RNA or SsrA, is named for its dual tRNA and mRNA-like properties. Its role is to liberate the mRNA from a stalled ribosome.
Source: RNAcentral